GAGGGUGAGGGACAUGGAGACGUAGCCCGAAUCAGAGAGGAUUUCUGCAGCGUCGAGGAUUGUUUGGGAUGGGAGAGAAGAGGAGAGGGAGAAGAGACAGAAAAUGAUGAGAGAAGUGAGAAGAGAGUACGCCAUUAAUGGUAGGUCCGGAAGAUUUUUAGGGUUUAGGUUGCAGAUUUUCUAUAUGAACGAAGGAGAAAGGAUUCUGGUGGGAAAGAAAAAUGAAACGUGGCGGCGUGGGAUUUGUUGAUCAACAAGGGGAAUCAAAAGUUCGUUAAGAAGUAGUUGUUAAACUCUUCCAGAGAAAUGACGGAAGUACCCCUUCAGGAUUUGAGUUUUACGUUGUUAUUGGGCCUACCGUGGAUGAUGGGCCUUUGUGGGGUCGUCACUCUACUUGGCUGGGUUCUGUUGUGUCGAUAUGAACAUUUUACUCGAAUCAAUAAACCAUAUAACAAUUCUUUCACAAUAACAUAAGUAGGAUGGAGAGAUUGGACCACGUGGAUUAUUCAAAUUCACACGAAAAACAUAAACAUUAUGUCUUAUCUAAUAAAAUUACAAAAAUAUUUAUGACGGUUGUGAAUUUAAAUCGUAAAAUUGGAUUUUUAUUUUUCCUCUCACUUUUCUUUUUCUAGGCCUAAAAGAAGCUUAAGGCAAUUACAAGAAUUUUUUAAAAGAAAGAUGAGAAUGGGAGACUUGCCCAAACAUUGAUACUGUGAAGGUUUCGAUGUUGGUCGGGACGAUGCUACCACCCAAUGAUGGGGAAUGAUCCAACCAUAAUUCUCUUACCAACGGUAUGAUCAUUCUUUGGAAUAUACCCCUGUAAUUGAAACUCUCCUUCCUUUCGGAUAUGGAUUUUUGUAAGUUGUGGUGACUAUAUGGCCUUGGUUGAUGUUUCUCUCUUUAAAACUAUUUGCCCCAAGCCCAUUACUAUCUUCAUCACUUUGGCAUAUUUAGUAUUGCCAUAAUACUAAUAAAGGAAAUUUUAUUUAAUUUUUAAAUUACCAUAUUGUAUUAUUAUUUCUUGUUUUUUUUUAAUAUUUAAAUGAAUAUUUUAUUCGUAAAUCUGAAAAAUUAUAAUGUAUAUGCAUAUUACAAUAAUAAUAUAAUUAUGUAGUAUUUUAACACAUUAAAUACUGAAUAAGGGUGAAAUUAAUCAUAAUGACUCAAAACUAAAACAAAUCAUAAAAUCAAAUCAAAACUAAAACAAAUCAUCAAAUCAAAUAAAAUAUUUCUUAAUAUGAUGUGGGUAUCAUCUAUAAGGUGGGCCGAAAUAUUUAUUCCAUGUGUCUUGGGCAUAGUUGUCAUACCAUGCGUCACCUUCUCUUUGCUCAUAAUCACCAUAUUCCACUGUCCUUCCUCGUUGUUCAAAUGAGAAGUCAACUUCCUCUUGUGUAGGUUCAUCAGAAGUGUCAAUAUCCUCUUGUGUAGGUUCAUCAGAAGAGUCAAUAUCCUCUUGUGGAGGAUCAGUAGAAGCUUCAACAGAAGCCUCAGUAUCUUUUUUCAUGUAAAAGAAAGCGAUAAAGACAGAAAAUUAAAACGAUGAUAUGCCAUAUGAGAAAGACUUAUAUAUACAUAUAUAAUUAGAAGGGACAAAAAAAACCCGAGAGAGAAAGAAAAAGUAAACCUUUGGGCUUAGAAGAAAAGCAACCCAUCUUUUCUAAGUUCAAUUUUUUUUUUUUUUAAAUGUCUUCAUGGAAUCUCUUUUUAUAGCUGAUUAAGUCCUUUAAUUAGCAUGAUAAUGGAAAGAGAGGAAUUUGGGAAGAGAAUCCCUUUUUAAUAUUUUCAAAAUAAAAUAGAUUCUCUUAAAAGUUUUUCCCUUUUAAAAAAAAUUUAAUAAUAUAUAUAUGCCUUGGACAAGGAGUAGGGCUUUGGAGCUUCUUAUGAAACUCUUUCUUGUACCUCGACCUUGUUCCAUUUUUUUUAUCUUGUACCCCAUGUAGGCUUGUUUCGCAUAGGCUACACAAGUUUUGGUUUUGUACCUUGAACACCAACCCCAUCUUGACAAUGAAAAAGAAAAUUACAAACAACUACAAAAAUUAUAACUUCUAUGAAUAGAUGUUUUCAAUUAGUUAGAUUUUUAAAAUUGUGUAAACUUUUAUAACAAACGUCUACAUGCAUUGGUUAAAGUUAUUUUCUUAUAAAAAUUUGACGUUAAUAUGAUUUAUUCAAACAUUUUUAUGUUAUCUAUGAUUCUUAGAAAAUAUUAAGGAAAGAAAAUAUGAAGGAAUAAUAAAAGGAAAAGAAAAAAUAUAGAAAUAUAUAUAUAUAUAUAUAUAUAUAUAUAUAUAUAUAUAUAUAUAUAUAUAUAUAUAUAUAUAUAUAUAUAUAUAUAUAUAUAAAGUUUUAGGACAAUCGUGUUUUAGACCUAGUUGGACCUAAAAAUUAAGUUUUGAUUCAUAUAAAUUGCAUAAUUGAUGGAAAGAAUAUAAAAUAUGAAAAGAUCAAUAUAUCUUUCAAAACUAUUUUCUACCACAAUGUUCGAUAAAUUUUUUGAUCUUAAAUUUUUUUUAAUAAUUAUUCUAAAAAUUGAUUAUUUUUAGAAAACUAAUUUUUCUAAAAAUAUAUCAUUUUAAAAAAAAUUUUGACAUAAUUUUAGUUAUUUUUUAUAUCCACAAUUUUAAAAAGUAUAUACUUUCCAAAAUGAUUGAUUUUUAAAUAAUAAAAAUAAUAAUUUAUUUUUAUUUUUUUGAAAAAUUGUGUAUUUUUUUUCAAAUCACUAAAUUAUAUUGAAUUUAAUUGAGGUUUAUAAAAGGAAUCUUGGCUCCGACGGGAAGCGAAAGGAGGCUUUCGAAAGAUAAACUAGGGCCGAGGAAUGGAAUUGGAGUAGGGAGAGCGGAGGCUGACCAGAUUCGAUAAAUGCGGCGUCGGAAGCAGCGAACAAGGUGGCCGACGGCGAUUUGGGAAGUAGGGUCUGAGAGACGAGUUCGAGGGUGAGGGACAUGGAGACGUAGCCCGAAUCAGAGAGGAUUUCUGCAGCGUCGAGGAUUGUUUGGGAUGGGAGAGAAGAGGAGAGGGAUAAGAGACAGAAAAUGAUGAGAGAAGUGAGAAGAGAGUACGCCAUUAAUGGUAGGUCCGGAAGAUUUUUAGGGUUUAGGUUGCAGAUUUUCUAUAUGAACGAAGGAGAAAGGAUUCUGGCGGGAAAGAAAAAUGAAACGUGGCGGCAUGGGAUUU
RNAcentral lists this long non-coding RNA (3171 nucleotides) under Vitis vinifera (wine grape). Its description in RNAcentral is "long non-coding RNA (VVIN_LNC000069)". The record is from RNAcentral. Lineage: Eukaryota; Viridiplantae; Streptophyta; Magnoliopsida; Vitales; Vitaceae.